This 503-nucleotide ribosomal RNA is filed under the name uncultured bacterium. RNAcentral's name for it is "partial 16S ribosomal RNA". It matches the Rfam family "Bacterial small subunit ribosomal RNA", at positions 30 to 523 of the family's 1533-position model. The record is from RNAcentral.
AUUGAACGCUGGCGGCAGGCUUAACACAUGCAAGUCGAGCGGGGUGAUGGUGCUUGCACUAUCACUUAGCGGCGGACGGGUGAGUAAUGCUUAGGAAUCUGCCUAUUAGUGGGGGACAACAUCUCGAAAGGGAUGCUAAUACCGCAUACGUCCUACGGGAGAAAGCAGGGGAUCACUUGUGACCUUGCGCUAAUAGAUGAGCCUAAGUCGGAUUAGCUAGUUGGUGGGGUAAAGGCCUACCAAGGCGACGAUCUGUAGCGGGUCUGAGAGGAUGAUCCGCCACACUGGGACUGAGACACAGCCCAGACUCCUACGGGAGGCAGCAGUGGGGAAUAUUGGACAAUGGGGGGAACCCUGAUCCAGCCAUGCCGCGUGUGAGAAGAAGGCCUUAUGGUUGUAAAGCACUUUAAGCGAGGAGGAGGCUCUUUUGGUUAAUACCCAAGAUGAGUGGACGUUACUCGCAGAAUAAGCACCGGCUAACUCUGUGCCAGCCGCCGCAGUAA